RNAcentral lists this ribosomal RNA (800 nucleotides) under uncultured bacterium. Its description in RNAcentral is "bacterial SSU rRNA". It matches the Rfam family "Archaeal small subunit ribosomal RNA", at positions 81 to 879 of the family's 1478-position model. The record is from RNAcentral.
CCUUACGGCUCAGUAACACGUGGAUAACCUGCCCUUGGGACCGGCAUAACCCCGGGAAACUGGGGAUAAUUCCGGAUAACGCAUAUGUGCUGGAAUGCUUUAUGCGUCAAAUGGAUUCGUCUGCCCAAGGAUGGGUCUGCGGCCUAUCAGGUAGUAGUGGGUGUAAUGUACCUACUAGCCAACAACGGGUACGGGUUGUGAGAGCAAGAGCCCGGAGAUGGAUUCUGAGACAUGAAUCCAGGCCCUACGGGGCGCAGCAGGCGCGAAAACUUUACAAUGCGGGAAACCGUGAUAAGGGGACACCGAGUGUCAGCAUCAUAUGCUGGCUGUCCAGGUGUGUAAAAUACACCUGUUAGCAAGGGCCGGGCAAGACCGGUGCCAGCCGCCGCGGUAACACCGGCGGCCCGAGUGGUGAUCGUGAUUAUUGGGUCUAAAGGGUCCGUAGCCGGUUUGGUCAGUCCUCCGGGAAAUCUGAUAGCUCAACUAUUAGGCUAUCGGGGGAUACUGCCAGACUUGGAACCGGGAGAGGUAAGAGGUACUACAGGGGUAGGAGUGAAAUCUUGUAAUCCCUGUGGGACCACCUGUGGCGAAGGCGUCUUACCAGAACGGGUUCGACGGUGAGGGACGAAAGCUGGGGGCACGAACCGGAUUAGAUACCCGGGUAGUCCCAGCCGUAAACGAUGCUCGCUAGGUGUCAGGCAUGGCGCGACCGUGUCUGGUGCCGCAGGGAAGCCGUGAAGCGAGCCACCUGGGAAGUACGGCCGCAAGGCUGAAACUUAAAGGAAUUGGCGGGGGAGCAC